UAGCACUUUAAACGACAAGACCAGAC
This 26-nucleotide small RNA is filed under the name Bombyx mori (domestic silkworm). RNAcentral's name for it is "ovarian small RNA-22250". The record is from RNAcentral. Lineage: Eukaryota; Metazoa; Arthropoda; Insecta; Lepidoptera; Bombycidae.